UACGGAGGGUGCAAACGUUGCUCGGAAUCAUUGGGCGUAAAGCGCACGUAGGUGGCCUGUUAAGUCGGGUGUGAAAUCCCUGGGCUCAACCCAGGAAGUGCACUCGAAACUGGCAGGCUUGAGUACUGAAGAGGGUCGCGGAAUUCCCGGUGUAGAGGUGAAAUUCGUAGAUAUCGGGAGGAACACCGGUGGCGAAGGCGGCGACCUGGGUCGAUACUGACGCUGAUGCGCGAAAGCGUGGGGAGCAAACAGG
RNAcentral lists this ribosomal RNA (253 nucleotides) under uncultured bacterium. RNAcentral's name for it is "partial 16S ribosomal RNA". It matches the Rfam family "Bacterial small subunit ribosomal RNA", at positions 524 to 776 of the family's 1533-position model. The record is from RNAcentral.